RNAcentral lists this ribosomal RNA (567 nucleotides) under uncultured bacterium. Its description in RNAcentral is "bacterial SSU rRNA". It matches the Rfam family "Bacterial small subunit ribosomal RNA", at positions 240 to 870 of the family's 1533-position model. The record is from RNAcentral.
AUUAGCUAGUUGGUAGGGUAAUGGCCUACCAAGGCGACGAUGGUUAGCUGGUCUGAGAGGAUGAUCAGCCACACUGGAACUGAGACACGGUCCAGACUCCUACGGGAGGCAGCAGUGAGGAAUCUUGCGCAAUGGGGGAAACCCUGACGCAGCAACGCCGCGUGAGUGAGGAAGGUCUUCGGAUCGUAAACGGCUAACUCCGUGCCAGCAGCCGCGGUAAUACGGGGGGUGCAAGCGUUGUUCGGAAUUAUUGGGCGUAAAGAGCGUGUAGGCGGCCUGAUGUGUCAGAUGUGAAAGCCCUGGGCUUAACCCAGGAAGUGCAUUUGAAACUGUCAGGCUUGAGUAGGGGAGAGGGAAGUGGAAUUCCUGGUGUAGAGGUGAAAUUCGUAGAUAUCAGGAGGAACACCGGUGGCGAAGGCGACUUCCUGGCCCUAUACCGACGCUGAGACGCGAGAGCGUGGGGUAGCAAACAGGAUUAGAUACCCUGGUAGUCCACCCCGUAAACGAUGUUCACUAGGUGUNGGGGGUAUUGACCCCCCAAUGCCNGGNCUAAAACUUNAAUGAACC